GAUAUAUAAAUAUAUAGUUCUAUAUUUCAAUAGUCAUAGUUUUUAUUAUUUGUAACAUUGUUCAAAUGAAUGCUACUGUGCUUGUCCUCUUAAAAAAUAUAUAUGUAUAUAUAUUUUUUUUUCAAUCCGUCAAAUCACUGAUUCAUACACCAGACAUCUACCUUUUUAAUGUAAGUCAUGAAAUGUAUUUCUAAAUUUUCAUAAACCAGGUGGAAUUGGUAAAUAUAAAGAAGAGUAACCAACACCACACAGCAUCUGUGCUGAAAUCUUGGCAUUGUACUGUAGUUCAUCCAGGUGUGUGCACAUUAGUAGUGUACUUUAUAAUAUAUAGUUUUAAGAUGACUUUCCAAAAAAGCAGUUAAGAAUUAUGUAAUCACUUGUUAAUUAACCUGGACUUUUACCAAUAAUUGUUUGAUCAUUGUUAUUGACAUUGACAUUUUGAAUGUACAAUGGUCUAAUUCAUAGCAUUCUUUAGUGAAUAAGGAAUGCAUACAGCAGACAAUGCCAAGUUUUUGUUUGUAAUGUUGAGUUUUCCAUGAUACUUUAACACUUUACUUUUUUUUUUCUUAUGUUUAGUGCUUUUGAAUAUUAUGCAUUAAACCUUCAAACCAUCCUGUUAUGUGGGCUUUCAGGUACUCCUCAGUUGAUCAACCUUUUUAUCAAGGAUUUGACGCAUCAAAAUGUGCCAACAUAUUUUUGAGAUCCUGAUUAGUACCUGUCGAAGUAUUUGGAGACUCAGUUAAACAAAUAUGAAGGGUGCUUGCGGAACUACUCAGAUUGCAAAAUUCCCCAUGUUGUCCAGUUUGUUUGUUUUUGAGCAGAGCUGAAAGUCAUUAUUUAUUGAAUAAACAUCUCAUGACAGAUUCCCAUUAUACAAGAUGCUGUACUCGUGUAACGAGUGCCAACCUCCGUUCCAUGCUGUUUAGAUGAAAGGUUUGUGUUGAGAUUUAUAUUUCAAAUUAAGAGAAAAAAAAUUAUAAAACUUAAGUUUUAUUAUUGAAGAAGUCUAAACCCCCUAACCCAACUAUUGAUUAAAACAUGUUUUUGGAUGCAAUCAUAACUUUGUCUCUCUUUAAAUGGCCUGUAAGCAACUUCAUGUGCUCACAAUGAUUUAUAUUUAUUAUUUGUACCUUGAC
This is a non-coding RNA of Pelobates cultripes (western spadefoot toad), 1136 nucleotides long. The record is from the annotation of a GenBank genome assembly. NCBI's taxonomy places the organism in Eukaryota, Metazoa, Chordata, Amphibia, Anura, Pelobatidae.